RNAcentral lists this ribosomal RNA (209 nucleotides) under uncultured bacterium. RNAcentral describes it as "partial 16S ribosomal RNA". It matches the Rfam family "Bacterial small subunit ribosomal RNA", at positions 1292 to 1500 of the family's 1533-position model. The record is from RNAcentral.
UUCAGACUGCAGGCUGCAACUCGCCUGCACGAAGUCGGAAUUGCUAGUAAUCGUAGGUCAGCAUACUACGGUGAAUACGUUCCCGGGCCUUGUACACACCGCCCGUCAAACCAUGAGAGUUGGCAACACCCGAAGUCGGUAGUCUAACCGCAAGGAGGACGCCGCCGAAGGUGGGGUUGAUGAUUAGGGUUAAGUCGUAACAAGGUAUC